GCAGCAUGGUCUUAGCUUGCUAAGGCCGAUGGCGACCGGCGCACGGGUGAGUAACACGUAUCCAACCUGCCGUCUACUCUUGGACAGCCUUCUGAAAGGAAGAUUAAUACAAGAUGGCAUCAUGAGUCCGCAUGUUCACAUGAUUAAAGGUAUUCCGGUAGACGAUGGGGAUGCGUUCCAUUAGAUAGUAGGCGGGGUAACGGCCCACCUAGUCUUCGAUGGAUAGGGGUUCUGAGAGGAAGGUCCCCCACAUUGGAACUGAGACACGGUCCAAACUCCUACGGGAGGCAGCAGUGAGGAAUAUUGGUCAAUGGGCGAGGGCCUGAACCAGCCAAGUAGCGUGAAGGAUGACUGCCCUAUGGGUUGUAAACUUCUUUUAUAAAGGAAUAAAGUCGGGUAUGUAUACCCGUUUGCAUGUACUUUAUGAAUAAGGAUCGGCUAACUCCGUGCCAGCAGCCGCGGUAAUACGGAGGAUCCGAGCGUUAUCCGGAUUUAUUGGGUUUAAAGGGAGCGUAGAUGGAUGUUUAAGUCAGUUGUGAAAGUUUGCGGCUCAACCGUAAAAUUGCAGUUGAUACUGGAUAUCUUGAGUGCAGUUGAGGCAGGCGGAAUUCGUGGUGUAGCGGUGAAAUGCUUAGAUAUCACGAAGAACUCCGAUUGCGAAGGCAGCCUGCU
This 672-nucleotide ribosomal RNA is filed under the name uncultured Bacteroidales bacterium. RNAcentral's name for it is "bacterial SSU rRNA". It matches the Rfam family "Bacterial small subunit ribosomal RNA", at positions 66 to 730 of the family's 1533-position model. Lineage: Bacteria; Pseudomonadati; Bacteroidota; Bacteroidia; Bacteroidales. The record is from RNAcentral.